GGUUUUUUAGUUUAAGUUAAAAUACAGAUUUUGUAAAUCUGUGAUGAUUGGUAUGAUAUCAUUAACCU
Molecule: transfer RNA, 68 nt
Filed under: Taenia sp. MZH:127052
Lineage: Eukaryota; Metazoa; Platyhelminthes; Cestoda; Cyclophyllidea; Taeniidae
Description: tRNA-Thr
Rfam family: tRNA
About the family: Transfer RNA (tRNA) molecules are approximately 80 nucleotides in length.
Source: RNAcentral